GGGGAUGUAGUAUAACCUGGCUAGAAUAGUGGCCUCCAGAGCCUCGGAUCAGGGUUCGAAUCCCUGCAUCCCCA
This 74-nucleotide transfer RNA is filed under the name Candidatus Woesearchaeota archaeon. RNAcentral's name for it is "tRNA-Trp". It matches the Rfam family "tRNA". Rfam says of the family: Transfer RNA (tRNA) molecules are approximately 80 nucleotides in length. Their secondary structure includes four short double-helical elements and three loops (D, anti-codon, and T loops). Further hydrogen bonds mediate the characteristic L-shaped molecular structure. tRNAs have two regions of fundamental functional importance: the anti-codon, which is responsible for specific mRNA codon recognition, and the 3' end, to which the tRNAs corresponding amino acid is attached (by aminoacyl-tRNA synthetases). tRNAs cope with the degeneracy of the genetic code in two manners: having more than one tRNA (with a specific anti-codon) for a particular amino acid; and 'wobble' base-pairing, i.e. permitting non-standard base-pairing at the 3rd anti-codon position. The record is from RNAcentral. Lineage: Archaea; Nanobdellati; Candidatus Woesearchaeota.